This 253-nucleotide ribosomal RNA is filed under the name uncultured bacterium. Its description in RNAcentral is "partial 16S ribosomal RNA". It matches the Rfam family "Bacterial small subunit ribosomal RNA", at positions 524 to 776 of the family's 1533-position model. The record is from RNAcentral.
UACGUAGGGGGCAAGCGUUGUCCGGAUUUAUUGGGCGUAAAGGGCGCGUAGGCGGCCAUGCGUGUCUUCCGUGAAAUCCCUCGGCUUAACUGAGGACGUGCGGAAGAAACUGCAAGGCUCGAGUCCGGGAGAGGGGGGUGGAAUUCCCAGUGUAGCGGUGAAAUGCGUAGAUAUUGGGAGGAACACCGGUGGCGAAGGCGGCCCCCUGGACCGGUACUGACGCUGAGGCGCGAAAGCGUGGGUAGCAAACGGG